RNAcentral lists this ribosomal RNA (219 nucleotides) under Talaromyces minioluteus. Its description in RNAcentral is "partial 28S ribosomal RNA". It matches the Rfam family "Eukaryotic large subunit ribosomal RNA", at positions 1 to 214 of the family's 3401-position model. The record is from RNAcentral. Lineage: Eukaryota; Fungi; Ascomycota; Eurotiomycetes; Eurotiales; Trichocomaceae.
GGUUGACCUCGGAUCAGGUAGGAGUUACCCGCUGAACUUAAGCAUAUCAAUAAGCGGAGGAAAAGAAACCAACCGGGAUUGCCUCAGUAACGGCGAGUGAAGCGGCAAGAGCUCAAAUUUGAAAUCUGGCCCCCCUGGGGGUCCGAGUUGUAAUUUGGAGAGGAUGCUUCGGGUACGGUGCCCAUCUAAGUGCCCUGGAACGGGCGGUCAUAGAGGGUG